Capsicum annuum is the source of this 553-nucleotide long non-coding RNA. RefSeq lists it as uncharacterized. The record is from RefSeq and is a predicted model, not a curated record. The transcript is spliced from 2 exons. NCBI's taxonomy places the organism in Eukaryota, Viridiplantae, Streptophyta, Magnoliopsida, Solanales, Solanaceae.
AUUGUGUUGUUAUAUAAAUAUGCCUUCUAGGGUUAGGGUUUUCCAGCUAAGCAAUAAGAGAAGCUAGCUAGGUGUUUUAUCAUAAUUAAUAUUCUCUUCCUUCCCCUAUGCCAUAUUGUUUGGCAGGAGCGAAGAGAUGAAAAAAGUUAUGAGGAGAAAUGACUCCUCAAGAAACUCUACAAAUUCGUCCUUUACAGUGAGGACAGUGAGAUAUGUAGAGUGCCAGAGGAAUCAUGCUGCCAGUGUUGGCGGAUACGUUGUAGAUGGGUGCCGGGAGUACAUGCCAGACAGUACUUCCGGCACCCUAAAUUGUGCUGCCUGUGGCUGCCACCGAAACUUCCACAGAAGGGAAGUGGAAACUGAAGUUGCUUCUGAUUGUACUUCUGCUACUUCCACUACUACAUGAAGUCUUGUUUUAUAUAUGUGUGAAUAAGUUGUGAGAUCGUUUGUAAUGAUUUGCACGUUGAUGGAGUUUCAAGAGUGAACCGUUUAUUUAUAUGUAAUAAAUUGGUCCUGCAUUUAGGGGAGAAAAGAUGUGUUUCUGUUUUGAUUA